AGAGUUUGAUCCUGGCUCAGAUUGAACACUGGCGGCAGGCUUAACACAUGCAAGUCGAGCGGUAACAGGGGGAGCUUGCUCCCUGCUGACGAGCGGCGGACGGGUGAGUAAUGCAUAGGAAUCUGCCCAGUAGUGGGGGAUAGCCCGGGGAAACCCGGAUUAGUACCGCAUACGCCCUACGGGGGAAAGCAGGGGAUCUUCGGACCCUGCGCUAUUGGAUGAGCCUAUGUCGGAUUAGCUAGUUGGUGGGGUAAAGGCCUACCAAGGCGACGAUCCGUAGCUGGUCUGAGAGGAUGAUCAGCCACAUCGGGACUGAGACACGGCCCGUACUCCUCCGGGAGGCAGCAGUGGGGAAUAUUGGACAAUGGGCGCAAGCCUGAUCCAACCAUGCCGCGUGUGUGAAGCAGGCCUUCGGGUUGUAAAUCCCUUUCCGCGGGGAGGAAAACCUCAUGGUUUAUCCCCCCUGGGCUUGACGUACCGACGAAGAGGCUCUGAUGUGCAUUCCAA
RNAcentral lists this ribosomal RNA (507 nucleotides) under Marinobacter sp. enrichment clone A13. Its description in RNAcentral is "bacterial SSU rRNA". It matches the Rfam family "Bacterial small subunit ribosomal RNA", at positions 8 to 511 of the family's 1533-position model. Lineage: Bacteria; Pseudomonadati; Pseudomonadota; Gammaproteobacteria; Pseudomonadales; Marinobacteraceae. The record is from RNAcentral.